GAUGAACGCUGGCGGCGUGCCUAAUACAUGCAAGUCGAGCGAACGGACGGGAAGCUUGCUUUUCUGAUGUUAGCGGCGGACGGGUGAGUAACACGUGGAUAACCUACCUAUAAGACUGGGAUAACUUCGGGAAACCGGAGCUAAUACCGGAUAAUACUUUGAACCGCAUGGUUCAAAAGUGAAAGACGGUCUUGCUGUCACUUAUAGAUGGAUCCGCGCUGCAUUAGCUAGUUGGUAAGGUAACGGCUUACCAAGGCAACGAUGCAUAGCCGACCUGAGAGGGUGAUCGGCCACACUGGAACUGAGACACGGUCCAGACUCCUACGGGAGGCAGCAGUAGGGAAUCUUCCGCAAUGGGCGAAAGCCUGACGGAGCAACGCCGCGUGAGUGAUGAAGGUCUUCGGAUCGUAAAACUCUGUUAUUAGGGAAGAACAUAUGUGUAAGUAACUGUGCACAUCUUGACGGUACCUAAUCAGAAAGCCACGGCUAACUACGUG
Molecule: ribosomal RNA, 497 nt
Filed under: uncultured bacterium
Lineage: Bacteria
Description: partial 16S ribosomal RNA
Rfam family: Bacterial small subunit ribosomal RNA
Source: RNAcentral